Molecule: ribosomal RNA, 482 nt
Filed under: uncultured bacterium
Lineage: Bacteria
Description: partial 16S ribosomal RNA
Rfam family: Bacterial small subunit ribosomal RNA
Source: RNAcentral
AUUGAACGCUGGCGGCAUGCCUUACACAUGCAAGUCGAACGGUAACGCGCCUUCGGGUGCCGACGAGUGGCGAACGGGUGAGUAAUACAUCGGAACGUGCCCGAUCGUGGGGGAUAACGAGGCGAAAGCUUUGCUAAUACCGCAUACGAUCUACGGAUGAAAGCAGGGGACCGCAAGGCCUUGCGCGGACGGAGCGGCCGAUGGCAGAUUAGGUAGUUGGUGGGAUAAAAGCUUACCAAGCCGACGAUCUGUAGCUGGUCUGAGAGGAUGAUCAGCCACACUGGGACUGAGACACGGCCCAGACUCCUACGGGAGGCAGCAGUGGGGAAUUUUGGACAAUGGGCGCAAGCCUGAUCCAACCAUGCCGCGUGCAGGAUGAAGGCCUUCGGGUUGUAAACUGCUUUUGUACGGAACGAAAAGCCUUCUUUUAAUACAGGAGGGUCAUGACGGUACCGUAAGAAUAAGCACCGGCUAACUACGUG